RNA transcript from Triticum aestivum (bread wheat), 6037 nucleotides. RefSeq lists it as uncharacterized. The record is from RefSeq and is a predicted model, not a curated record. The transcript is spliced from 6 exons. Lineage: Eukaryota; Viridiplantae; Streptophyta; Magnoliopsida; Poales; Poaceae.
GAAAAAGAUAGCCGGAGCUAGCCCACCUCCCCCCCGAUGUGAAGAAACAAUCUAGCCCAUUCCCCAGUCGCUAUGAGCAGUUUUCACACGAUGACGUUCCCCUCCCCCCGUCCCUUCUAUUUCGCAAUUGCGGCGGCGGCGGCGGCGGCAGGGAUGGCACCGGAGGAAUGACCCGACUGCUAUGGCUACUUCUCUCGAGCGUGGUGUACUUCCCUUUCCCUCUCCCACGCGGUGGCGAACCGGAGGCGACGUGGGCGGUGCAACGAUCGGGGCGAGCUCGGCGGCGCCAGCGGCCUUCUACGGCAUCCGUCUCCACCCUCGGCGGUCUUAUCGCUUGGGAAGGGGAAGAAACUAGGGAAGGAAAGGAAAAAAAAGAGGAGUUUAGGGAGUGAUGGAAGUGAUGCUGGAGACAGGCACCUGAUAGUGAGAUGAUGGAGGUGGAGAAGAAGGCCCAGCCGAUGACAUAGAAGAAGAGGAGAGCUCAAUGCUGCGGAGCAAAAGGAACAACAGUAUAGUAUCAGACUGAUUCAGCUGAGAUAUUUUAGUUUUUUUGCAAGACAUGUGAAUCCUCUCUGCGUUUUUGCUUUUGUUUAGAAUUCACGAAUUUUCUUCCUUGUAGCUAUAUGAUGGUUCCAACUUAAUUGGAUGUUAGUAAUGACGUACAUAAACAAUCAAUCUAUACGGCUGUACCUAGCUGACAAUGCUAUGUCUCUGUUUGGACCUGGCUGACAAUGCUAACUCUCUGUAUAUUUGUAUUAUCGAAAUUUGCGCAAACCUACAAGAAAAAAAUUCCUCAAUUAAAGAUGAUUCAUUUUACGAGGAAUUUGUUUUAUAUUUAGUGAAUUUAUUAGGCAAACAAGGAAUUGGAAUUCUGCCAAGAAAUCUAGGAGCAGAAGAAGAUGCAAGACUUGCGGACUAGCCAAAUGCUGUGCAGGCGAGAAAAUGGUAUCGCACAGCCCAUAAAGAACCGCUGGUAAUAUGAUUAAGUUUGGAGCAAUUCGUUAUUACUACCAGUUUCAAAUUAGAUUUAUUUCAAUUGCAAUGAGGUACAAGACUGGCCCUCUUCCUUGCUGUCUUAUCUUUGGUGUUUAUUUGGUUGAACUAGCAUAAACCUAACUUUUAAUAUUGAUGUGUUUCCGCCCAAUUUGUGUAUUAAGCCAUGCUAGUCAUCAAUUAAUCAAUCUCAAUGUUCCCUUAAUAGAUGAUUGCUAUUGAUUUGUUGUGGCUUAGCUAUCGAGGACAAAACAUUUUCCUUUCCCUUUCCCCCCUAAUAGUUGUUUAUUUGCUCCUUCUAGGAGGCCUGCAUUUUGCUAAUUGUCUAUUUGCUAGAGAAGUAGUGGCAAUGAACAUUUUUAUUCUGAUGCCUUAUCUGAAUAGCUUCAGAAAUUCUUAACAUGAAAAUACAUAAUAUACUUAUCUGUGUGUGGUUAAUGCUUCGUUGUUUAAAUUUUCUCUUUGUUAAAUGUUGGUAAGCAGAGUAUAUAUUCUUGAUUGAUUAUCCUGAAUCUGAAUUUGGGGAACAUGAUCUAACUAGCUUCUAAAUCAGCUGAGUUGUACUGAAUGAUGGUGUGUUUGCUGCUCACACAUUUUAUUCCAAGGGCCAUUAUGACAAAUAAUGGCCACUUAUAGGUUGCUGGUAAUGCAUUUUCACACCAUACAUAUGCUUGUGCUUACCCCCGUUGGGUAGUCAAUAUGAUACUGGUGCACUAAUCAGUGGAUUUCGGUUUGUUUUAUACAUGAAAAUAAGGUAAGAGUGUUAUGUCAGCUUCAAGUCCCUCGAAACCACAUACUUUUGUUCGUGUUGUUCUAGGUUACCUUCUUUCAUGGUGGCAUAAAUCUGUCUUAUAGAAAAUAGACGUGGAUGCUUUCCUUGCCAGUUCCAUGUAAUUUUUGUCUGGUUCUGCUGUAAUUUCAGAUGUAUGUGAGUUUUUGAGGUGCACAGUUCACUAGCAUUACAUAGGUUAGCAUAUCUUUGCUCCCACAUUUGCAUGACACAUGAUUUAUACUUGGAUUGUAUAUGAAUUACUGUUUGUGUAUGCAUAUGCUACUGUUUUCACCUCUAAUAUUUUAACUUCCUACUUCAGUGGAUGUGGUAAAGUGCAACAAUACUCAAUUAGGCCGUACUGAUUUUUAUGGUCGUCUUUUUAGCAUCUGGCAAAGCAGUAAGAUUAAAGAUGUAAUGGCCGUAACUAUACUUCUCGUCGAAAAGCGAUCUAUGGGAAAAAAAUACCUGUCCUCAACUCCUCAAGAAUCUGGAGGAUGUUGUGAGAGAUCUGACCUGGGAUUGUUACUCUCAUACAACCCUAUUCACAUCCAUGUUGUACUUACAUUUGCGAGCUACUCACUGGCUCUGCAAUUUGAAUGAAACAGUUCUCAUUUUCAGUCAUUUUUUCUGGGUAUUCCACACGGGAAGAAAAGCACAUUAGGCAUGCAUACAAUUGUCAAUUUUUACAGGCUGAAAUUUUUGAAUAAUUGUCAAUUAGUUUUCAGCCGAUUGCUUGUCAAUCUUCGCAGAUUUCCAGUUUAACCCGCCCUCAAUCCAGGAGUAAUCUUGUAUAACAUUCAGUUACAAGACACAAACUAGUUAAAUAUGAUGACUCCCACCAUUGUAUCUGGCACACUGAUAAAAUACAUGGUUUAGUGUGCAUUGAAACAAUUGUUACAGAGUUUGCCUAUUUAUCUUGUUUCUCACUAUACUUUUGAUUCAUAGCGUGUUAUGGGUUCAUGUCAUUCCGAACAGUUUGGUACAUCUAAUAUCCCUCUGAGAUAUCUAUGCUUUCAACAUUGUGUCCAGUUUAGGGUAGUGAAGCAUAUUAAUCCUAAAGUGUUAUAUGCGCUUGUGUGUUGGGGGCCUCUAUCUGUUUGUUAGUAUACUUCUGAGAACUGAUAAUAUUCUGCUUUUCAGGUAUCUGUUCAAGUGGAUGACAGUAAAUGUAUGAGGGUAGAGAGUAAUGUCUUCUUAUUUAUGGUCGGUACGAGUAACAUUAAAUUGAAAUUUCAGACCUUUUACUAAUCCCUCCAUCCCAUAGUAUAAGACGUUUUUGCAAACUAAACAUAGCUUGCAAAAACAUCUUAUAUUGUGGGACGGAGGGAGUAGUAACCAGUAGCAAAAUUCAGGUUUUGGGGAGAAGAAAAGUGAACCUAAGGGCUCCAAUACUAUUAAUAGCACAAUACCAUGUUGCAUUCAGUGUUUCAGUCCUGGAGACAUUGCUGAACAGAUGAAGUUGGUGGAAAAUCUAUGGUCACCUAAAAAUUAAGCUGCUUGAAUAUCAAGUUCAGAAGUACUGUAGUCAGUUUUCAAGUUCGGUAGUAUUCAGUUUUUGUAAUAGUGAUUUCUGAAUAUUUCGAGAAAUGUGAUAAAAAGUCUUGCUAGUUCAUUUAACAUGAUUCUUAUUAAGAACUGUACUAGCAAGACUUUUUAUCACAUUUCUCGAAUGUAUCUUAGUUCACUAGAGUACUAGACAUACGAGUUGGCAACCAGCUGAUGGCACGACAAGUCUGGAGAUGCCAAAUUACCAUCUAACACUUGUGAUAUUUCGGAAUGUGAUGACUCUGGGUUUAGUGAAGUGGUUGAAGAAAACAAGCCUGCCGAACAACAUGAAGGUUUUGCUCGAGGAGAUAGAAGAUCAUUGGAUAAAACUAAAAAAGGCUUGUUAGAUCUAUCUGCUGGUCAGAAUACCUCAGGGUCUGUGUCAGAAAUACAAUUAUCAAAUUUGGGGGAUACAAUAGGAAUAGAUCAACAUUUUGAAGUUUCCACUCAGAGAAAUGAAAAUAGUACUGUGGAUGGUCACCUUGAAGGAAGAAAGAUGAAUAAUAUAUGUACAGAAAUGAAUGACAGUCCUGGAAAAGGCAAUGAAAUAAACCUAAAACAACCUGCAGUGCUUGUACUUUCUGCCAUGGCUGAGACAGGCCUGGUUAGUCUGCCUUCACUGUUCACAGCUGUGUUGCUGCAGGCAAACAACGGAUUGUCAUCUGACCAGGCUUCAGCGAUUCUUCCAUCAAAUUUUGAAGAAGUAGCCACUGGUGUAUUGAAAGUUUUGAACAAUGUGGCAUGUUUGGAUAUCACUCUUCUGCAGUGUAUGCUGGUAACAGUUGUAUCCAAGCUGGGUAUUAUUGUUAUUGGCUUUUUGUUUGUUGAUUUUCAUGCAUCGUUUGACGCUGAAUAGAUGAAUUUCUGAACUGCAAAAUGUAACCUAGGAAGACACAAAAGAAUCUUAAACUAUUUAUAAUGCCAGCAGACAACUAUUCAUUCUUAAAGAUCUCAUGCAAAAUUUGCUGUUGGCAAACCGGCAACAUUCUAAUAUGGGAGUCCUGAAGAUCUUAACAAUCUGUUUUUCCACCUAUGGUCGUUUGUAUGCUUACUGGUUAUGAACUCUUUUCAGGCUAGAUCAGAUCUGAAGAUGGAAUUCUUUCAUUUGCUCAGUUCUCUUCUGAAUCAUUGCAUGCAUAAAUGGAGAGUACCAAAUGAUCAGGUAAUGUGUAUGCUAUUGUAAAUGGCUUGGUUGAUAGGCCUGAUGGCCUGGAAAAUGGAUUCAAACUUCCAUCAGGUGCUUUUGGACUGCUGCCAAAGGAUGUCGAGAGCAUUGUUACCGCGAAAUGCAAAGAUAAACUGUUGGAUCUCUACAACAAGAGAAGCAUCUCAGAACUGGUUGAGGUGGUCUGUGUAACUGUCGGUGCUAGGGAGCAGCUUCCACCUUCAACUGUUGGCAGGUCCAGCAUAUAUAUCAUUAUCAGACGUGACAACAAGCUCUAUGUUGGACAGGGAGAAGUGUAGUAUUGAAGUUGUUCGUAAAUCACAAGUACGGUAUUGAAAACUUGAAAUGCAUCACUGGGGAUCAAUUGGAUGGUCGAAUGUUACGAUGCUACAAAGGUGAGACGUAACUGAACUUCUGUAGAUCGGCGCAACAAAAUGAAAUGACAACACACAAAUACCACGGUGCCUCUGCGCUGCCAAAACAGACAGUUCUUCUCAACAGUACCACAGCAUCAGAAUGUUUCUAUUAAAGCAGGAAUAGCAUGCUUUUGUAUCUCAUCAACUGUACUCUACACCGAAACAAAAAAGGAAAAUACAACGUACAGAUGAUGAAUCUACACACAGCGUAUGACAAGGGAGGUAGAAUCUCCACUUGUCACUCCAUGGUAUCAUUUUAUUCCCAAUAUUUCGAAUAUAAGAAAUGCAACUCUAAGAAAAUGUAGCUCAGGAGGGAUAGAUGGAAGAGAGAGGGGUGGAAAGGAACAUGGCCAGGGAAAGGAGGUGGAAUAAGAAGAUGAAGAACACGAGGGGAAAUGUCAUUGUUGGGUCUUACAAGGUCAAGAAAAGGUCUUGCAAGGUCAAGAAGACCCUAACAACGUGGCUUUAGCAGAUUCAAUCGGUGCUGCAGUUUCAACAAGAACUCUAUUAUCUAGGGCCUGACGUUCGGCAAUCUCUGCUGCCUUAAAAAUGUUUCUUUCAGCUGAGUUAUGGCGACUAAUUUGCUGUUCCUUCCCUUCAAGCUGGUUAUGACAAUUUUCCUCUACUUUGUUUGCACACAAUUCCUUAAAUGUAAGGGAACCAAUAUCUUCACUGACAUUUCUGUUGUGACCAUGGAUACUGAUUCCAUUUCCCUUAGAUUAGUUGUGGCAAAUCUCCUCCCCAUUCACACGUAUGUUAUUAAUUGUAAGCGAACUUAAAUCUUCACUUAAAUGUCUGUUAUGACCAUCUGGGCAGUAAAACCAACGGAAAGAAGAGGCUUUGAGUCAGUCAAGUUUUCCAGUGAGUCGACAGUGUUUGGAACAACAGCUACUUGAUGCACCCCUUUAACAUUCAGUUCCUCCUCUUGCUGCAGAAAGAUGUGUUAUCCCAGUUGAAAAAUCCGAGGCUCUUUACCUUGAUGUCUUCCAUAUGUUUUGAAUCUAGAUUAGUAGCAUGUACUUUGUUCUGAAAUUCUAUCUGAAUUGGCAAUGGUGGCACGUCCAGUAUUUGGAGAUUCCGAUGGCUCCAGUAUCCUGUUUACAGGAUGAACCUACCUGGAGGCACUGUAUCCACAUGACAUUCACG